Zea mays is the source of this 767-nucleotide RNA transcript. It is a transcript of the gene named aluminum-induced protein superfamily pseudogene, with no coding region annotated. Lineage: Eukaryota; Viridiplantae; Streptophyta; Magnoliopsida; Poales; Poaceae. The record is from RefSeq and is marked validated. The transcript is spliced from 3 exons.
CGGUGGCCAUCGCCGACCAUCAGCCCGACGAGGUCGUAUGCGCUCCAUCUUGUCUCACGUGCCCGCCGCCGACCGCUGCCCCGGUGAGGUUGUCCGCAUUUCUCUCGUCACGUGCACCGCUGAUCCAACCGUCAGCGCUUCGCUCGUAGCGGGCCGCCGUCGGUGGUUCGGUCUAAUCGUGCGCAUGUCUACUUUUUGGCGAGACGACUCAAGCUUGGCCCCGAUAAAUGACGACAUGCCAGGUUGUGAGAGACCUCAGUCGGAAGUUCGCGUUCAUCCUGUAUGUUAUCAUGUCGAAGUCCACAUUUAUCGCUGAUGUAAGUUCACCUUACCUUUGUUGGUUGUGGCUUGAUCCUUGAGUUGCAAUAUAAUGCCAUGUUUAAAUAUAGGACGUUGACGAUAGCAUCCAUUUCUUAUGGGGUGUCGACUCGAAAACCAUCUUGUGUUCUCUAAUGGUAUUGGGAUCCUCAAGACAGACUGUGACAACUUGUACGCGCCAUUCCCUAAAGAAAAUCAAAACCGGAGUGAAAUGGCAUGCCAUGUUCUUCGUGGCCCGGAUGUGGCCGUCGGGAUGACGAUGUCGUCGGAUAUCGUCUUGAGGCUCGGGACGAUCCUCUUGGUGAGCAGCGCGCACACCGGCACGCCAAAGAGGAUGGCGAGGAUGAUGUCGACGACGACCUUGCCGAAGUGAAGUUGUCAUCUUGAGGAUUGCCUGGGUGAUGUUCUCCAUCAAUCCAAUGCGAUUUUCAUAGAGGAAUCGUUGUUUG